UACGUAGGGAGCAAGCGUUGUCCGGAAUCAUUGGGCGUAAAGAGCGUGUAGGCGGUUUGCUAAGUCUGGUGUGAAAUCUUUCGGCUUAACCGGAAGCGGUCACUGGAAACUGGCAGACUUGAAUCUGGAAGAGGAGUGUGGAAUUCCUGGUGUAGCGGUGGAAUGCGCAGAUAUCAGGAGGAACACCUAUGGCGAAGGCAGCACUCUGGUACAUGAUUGACGCUGAGACGCGAAAGCGUGGGGAGCAAACAGGAUUAGAUACCCUGGUAGUCCACGCCGUAAACGAUGGAUGCUAGGUGUGGGUGGUGUCGAUUCCAUCCGUGCCGAAGCUAACGCAGUAAGCAUCCCGCCUGGGGAGUACGGCCGCAAGGCUAAA
This 376-nucleotide ribosomal RNA is filed under the name uncultured bacterium. Its description in RNAcentral is "bacterial SSU rRNA". It matches the Rfam family "Bacterial small subunit ribosomal RNA", at positions 524 to 898 of the family's 1533-position model. The record is from RNAcentral.